RNAcentral lists this transfer RNA (68 nucleotides) under Mastomys erythroleucus (Guinea multimammate mouse). Its description in RNAcentral is "tRNA-Arg". Lineage: Eukaryota; Metazoa; Chordata; Mammalia; Rodentia; Muridae. The record is from RNAcentral.
UGGUAAUUAGUUUAAACAAAAUUAAUGAUUUCGACUCAUUAGAUUAUGGUAUCUACCAUAAUUACCAA